RNAcentral lists this ribosomal RNA (380 nucleotides) under uncultured Mangrovibacter sp. Its description in RNAcentral is "bacterial SSU rRNA". It matches the Rfam family "Bacterial small subunit ribosomal RNA", at positions 505 to 889 of the family's 1533-position model. The record is from RNAcentral. Lineage: Bacteria; Pseudomonadati; Pseudomonadota; Gammaproteobacteria; Enterobacterales; Enterobacteriaceae.
GUGCCAGCCGCGGCGGUAAUACGGAGGGUGCAAGCGUUAAUCGGAAUUACUGGGCGUAAAGCGCACGCAGGCGGUCUGUCAAGUCGGAUGUGAAAUCCCCGGGCUCAACCUGGGAACUGCAUUCGAAACUGGCAGGCUGGAGUCUCGUAGAGGGAGGUAGAAUUCCAGGUGUAGCGGUGAAAUGCGUAGAGAUCUGGAGGAAUACCGGUGGCGAAGGCGGCCUCCUGGACGAAGACCGACGCUCAGGUGCGAAAGCGUGGGAGCAAACAGGAUUAGAUACCCUGGUAGUCCACGCCGUAACGAUGUCGACUUGGAGCUGUGCCCUUGAGGCGUGGCUUCCGGAGCUAACGCGUUAAGUCGACGCCUGGGAGUACGGCCGC